UUUAAUUGAAGAGUUUGAUCAUGGCUCAGAUUGAACGCUGGCGGCAGGCCUAACACAUGCAAGUCGGGCGGUAACAGGGAGAAGCUUGCUUCUCUGCUGACGAGCGGCGGACGGGUGAGUAAUGUAUGGGGAUCUGCCUGAUGGAGGGGGAUAACUACUGGAAACGGUAGCUAAUACCGCAUAAUGUCCACGGACCAAAGCGGGGGACCUUCGGGCCUCGCACCAUCAGAUGAACCCAUAUGGGAUUAGCUAGUAGGU
RNAcentral lists this ribosomal RNA (258 nucleotides) under Morganella morganii. Its description in RNAcentral is "partial 16S ribosomal RNA". It matches the Rfam family "Bacterial small subunit ribosomal RNA", at positions 1 to 253 of the family's 1533-position model. The record is from RNAcentral. Lineage: Bacteria; Pseudomonadati; Pseudomonadota; Gammaproteobacteria; Enterobacterales; Morganellaceae.